RNAcentral lists this long non-coding RNA (2437 nucleotides) under Zonotrichia albicollis (white-throated sparrow). Its description in RNAcentral is "lncRNA (ENSZALG00000005002.1)". Lineage: Eukaryota; Metazoa; Chordata; Aves; Passeriformes; Passerellidae. The record is from RNAcentral.
CAGGGAUGGCACCAGGAGCUGCAGCAGCAGCAGAUUUCUCUCCCUUUUAGCUCCUCACUCUGGAAAAAAAGCUAAAGGAGACCUGGAAUCCCAAAAUUAAGGAGGCAGCUGAGGCUGGAGAGCUCGUGGAGUGAGGAGCAAAACUCCUGGAAGCUUCUGGAAGCAAACCCUGCACACAGCCAGUUGAGUUUGCACUCAGUGUACCAUUUUUAUUUGAUAUAGAUAGAUAUUUUUUAUAUAUUACAUCAUUUAAAAACAGAUUAUAUGUAAAAACACACACUUUUGGUUUGGUUUUCUUGCUUGUUUUUUGCAGGUCAAAGCCACCCCAGCGUGUCCCACACAGUGCAAAGGGACAACUUGUGCAUUUCCCCCUCUUGUCCCCCUGGAAAAACAACUUUUGUGUCCUUGUCCCACCCUUCCAGAGCCACCACCAAGUGUCCCUUAGAGCCCUGGGGACAGCUGGAGCCUGGGGAGGGGACAGAGAGCAGGGACAGGCUCCUGCAUCCAGGAUUUAUCCAGGAAAAAUUCAUUCAGGAGGGAGAGGGUGGGAUCAAACACAGCCCUCAAAUCGGCUCAGUUGGAGUAAAAAGAGGCUCAAAAGGUGUAAAAAGAGGCUCAGGAGGAGAAAAAAAUAAAACUCCUUUGGGUUCUCAGCCUUUUCCCAUGCACCACCCUAAACUCUGGGAUGAAUUCUCCGGGAUGAAUUGUUCCUGGAUAAAUUCUCCUGGAUGGAUCCUCCUGGAUAAAUCCUCCUGGGGGAAUUCCUCCUGUGGCACAGUCCCAGUUCAGCCCUCCCAGUCCCAGUUCAGCAUUCCCAGUCCCAGUUCAGCAUUCCCAGUUCAGCACCCCCAGUCCCAGUUCAGAACCCCCAAUCCCAGUUCAGCAUUCCCAGCCCCAGUUCAGUCCCAGUUCAGCAUCCCCAGCCCCAGUUCAGCAUCCCCAGCCCCAGUUCAGCAUUCCCAGUCCCAGUUCAGCAUUCCCAACCCCAGUUCAGUCCCAGUUCAGCCCUCCCAGCCCCAGUUCAGCAUUCCCAGUCCCAGUUCAGUCCCAGUUCAGUAUUCCCAGUCUCAGUUCAGCAUUCCCAGCCCCAGUUCAGCAUUCCCAGCCCCAGUUCAGCAUUCCCAGUUCAUCAUUCCCAGUCCCAGUUCAAUCCCAGUUCAGCAUUCCCAGUCCCAGUUCAGCAUUCCCAGCCCCAGUUCAGCAUUCCCAGCCCCAGUUCAGUCCCAGUUCAUCAUUCCCAGUCCCAGUUCAAUCCCAGUUCAGCAUUCCCAGCCCCAGUUCAGCAUCCCCAGUCCCAGUUCAAGCUUUUUUUCCACCCAGGAAGGAGCAGAGCACAGAGGGAGGAGAGGCCCUGACACCCUGAGAGCUCCUCCCUCUGCGAAUCCCCUGAGAAAAACGGAUCAAAAAGGAAUUUUUCCUUUGUACAGCACCCAUUGAAGAGUUCUCCCCCCUGUCCUGGGCUUCCCUAAGGCUCAGUCCUUUCCCAUAAAUCUGAAAAUUCUCCUUUAUGGCCUCACAGCUGCAAGGGGGAGCUUUAGCCGGGAAAUGAGAAUUAAAUGAGCACCAAAAGCUCUCCCUGAUCCUCCGGAGUACCAGGAGUGUGUCUGAAGCAGCGAAUUAAAGCUGAUUUUUAUUUUUUCCAAGUCCUGCUGGACACAACCCAAGCAUAGAACCGACGAUGAUUUGUCGAUUGAGGAGAAAAAAAAAAAGGGGGAAAUAACGACGGUGGCUCGUACCCAUCGUGGCCACAAGGCUCCAUCUGGUGGCGUUUGCACCCAAAAAGGAGCUGGGGAGGAGGGGGAAGCGCGGAUCGUACUGGUUAAACUGGUUCACAGCAGAGAAAUGGCUUUAAACCCGAGGUAAAAUUCGAGAUUAAACUUCUCCCGAGCUGGGAGAGGAGGUGGCACCAUGGGAAGGGGAAUUUGGUGAGGAGAAAUGGAUCUGCAAGGGGACAAAGCAGCCGGGGGGGGCCACAAAAUCUGAAUUGUGGCCACAAAACCUGAGCACAGCCAAGCUCUGCUGCCCUGCACAACCGAGCAGCAGUGGGAAUAACACAGGAAAUAUUUUAAUGCUUUUCUCUUGAGAGCAUUCCCAAAAGGGAGCAGCCAGGAGCAAAAUGCCAAGCUCAGCUAUGGAAGCAAGCUGCAAAAGUUGGUUAUUCUGUUAAAAAAAAAAAGAGGCAGGGACAGGAGAAAUGGGAGAGUUAAAAAUCCAGGCUGGUCCUGCUCAGCCUGCAGAGGGAGAAGAGGGAGGGAUCCUUCAUCUGCAGCUUGGGCAGGACAGGGAACACCCAGCCUGAACUCCCUGCUCUGCAGAAAUCAGCUUUGGGAUGGGAGAGAGGAGCUGGCUCACCCCAAAAUCACUCAGGCAUGGUCAGGAACAGAACCAGCACCAAUCCCUGCCCAGAGGAGCCUGGUGCCUGCUCCAGGGGUAACUG